Molecule: long non-coding RNA, 208 nt
Filed under: Helianthus annuus (common sunflower)
Lineage: Eukaryota; Viridiplantae; Streptophyta; Magnoliopsida; Asterales; Asteraceae
Description: sRNA HanXRQr2_Chr04g0185991
Source: RNAcentral
AUGUAUCGGGAAAAAUGUUUUAGGGACAAGUUGACCUCUUCAGAAAUUCCGAAUUGGGAAAAAUUCGGUUCAGCGGUUUCCAUCCUGAAGAUUGUAAUAGUAAGAGCGAGCAAAUAACCAAAGGAACCGAAUUAACUGACUUAACUGAACCAAACAAUUGACCGACGGUUCGGUUAAGCCAUAACCAAUUAACCGAAAUUUGUGGUUU